RNAcentral lists this ribosomal RNA (1516 nucleotides) under metagenome. RNAcentral describes it as "bacterial LSU rRNA". It matches the Rfam family "Bacterial large subunit ribosomal RNA", at positions 1379 to 2902 of the family's 2925-position model. The record is from RNAcentral.
UCUGUUGACCUAAGGCGAGGCCGAGAGGCGUAGUCGAUGGACAACAGGUUGAAAUUCCUGUACUGCACCGAAUCGUUAUGAGCGAUGGAGGGACGCAGGAGGCUAGCAGCGCGUGGUGCUGGAUACCACGUUCAAGCGUCAAGUCUGAGAGCGAGUCAAAUGCUUGCUCUCAUAAGGACAAGGCGUGAUGAGGAGCGAAAUUAAAGUAGCGAAGGCUGCGACGUCACACUGCCAAGAAAAGCUUCUAGCCAGAAACGGUGCACCCGUACCGCAAACCGACACAGGUAGUCGAGGAGAGUAUCCUCAGGUGAGCGAGAGAACUCUCGUUAAGGAACUCGGCAAAAUGGCCCCGUAACUUCGGGAGAAGGGGCGCUGGUCGCAAGAUCAGCCGCAGUGAAAAGGCCCAAGCAACUGUUUAUCAAAAACACAGGCAUCUGCAAAAUCGUAAGAUGAAGUAUAGGUGCUGACACCUGCCCGGUGCUGGAAGGUUAAGAGGAGAGCUUAGCGCAAGCGAAGGUUUGAAUUGAAGCCCCAGUAAACGGCGGCCGUAACCAUAACGGUCCUAAGGUAGCGAAAUUCCUUGUCGGGUAAGUUCCGACCUGCACGAAAGGUGUAAUGAUUUGGGCACUGUCUCAACGAGAGACUCGGUGAAAUUAUAAUACCCGUGAAGAUGCGGGUUACCCGCGACAGGACGGAAAGACCCCAUGGAGCUUUACUGCAGUUUAAUAUUGGGUAUCUGUCAAGCAUGUACAGGAUAGGUAGGAGCCGGAGAAGAUAGGACGCCAGUCUUAUCUGAGGCGCUGUUGGGAUACUACCCUUGCUUGACGGAUGCUCUAACUCAGGCCUGUGAUCCAGGCCAAGGACAGUGUUUGACGGGCAGUUUGACUGGGGCGGUCGCCUCCUAAAGUGUAACGGAGGCGCCCAAAGGUUCCCUCAGAAUGGUUGGAAAUCAUUCGCAGAGUGUAAAGGCAAAAGGGAGCUUGACUGCGAGAGAGACAACUCGAGCAGGUACGAAAGUAGGGCUUAGUGAUCUGGUGGUACCGCAUGGAAGGGCCAUCACUCAACGGAUAAAAGCUACCCUGGGGAUAACAGGCUUAUCUCCCCCAAGAGUUCACAUCGACGGGGAGGUUUGGCACCUCGAUGUCGGCUCGUCGCAUCCUGGGGCUGAAGUCGGUCCCAAGGGUUGGGCUGUUCGCCCAUUAAAGCGGCACGCGAGCUGGGUUCAGAACGUCGUGAGACAGUUCGGUCCCUAUCCGUCGUGGGCGCAGGAAAUUUGAGAGGAGCUGUCCUUAGUACGAGAGGACCGGGAUGGACGCACCGCUGGUGUACCAGUUGUCUUGCCAAAGGCAUCGCUGGGUAGCUAUGUGCGGACGGGAUAAGCGCUGAAAGCAUCUAAGUGCGAAGCCCCCCCCAAGAUGAGAUUUCCCAUUUCUUCAAGAAAGUAAGACACCUCAGAGACGAUGAGGUAGAUAGGCCGGGAGUGGAAGAGCCGUGAGGCUUGGAGCGGACCGGUACU